UUCGCUCGGGCAGUUUGGGCUAUGGUCCAAGUAGCUUCGAAUUUAUACCCACCACGUAGUGCACGGAAUAUGUUUGGCAACUGGUUGCGGGGUAUUGAUAAACAAAUUUAUGCACAUAUUCUUGUGGGAGCGGCGGCCUUAUGCUGGGCAAUGUGGCUUACCAGGAAUGAUGUGGUUUUUAACAAUAAAUGUGUCUCAUCUCUUAUGCAGGUUAUUCAUAUUUGUACACGAUGGCUCCGUACUUAGUCUAUCCUGCAGAAGCCGGAGGCAGGGACCUUUUUAUGA
This 285-nucleotide ribosomal RNA is filed under the name Triticum aestivum (bread wheat). Its description in RNAcentral is "partial small subunit ribosomal RNA". The record is from RNAcentral. Lineage: Eukaryota; Viridiplantae; Streptophyta; Magnoliopsida; Poales; Poaceae.